Molecule: ribosomal RNA, 1371 nt
Filed under: uncultured bacterium
Lineage: Bacteria
Description: bacterial SSU rRNA
Rfam family: Bacterial small subunit ribosomal RNA
Source: RNAcentral
GAUGAACGCUGGCGGCGUGCCUAAUACAUGCAAGUCGAGCGAACGGACGAGAAGCUUGCUUCUCUGAUGUUAGCGGCGGACGGGUGAGUAACACGUGGAUAACCUACCUAUAAGACUGGGAUAACUUCGGGAAACCGGAGCUAAUACCGGAUAAUAUUUUGAACCGCAUGGUUCAAAGUGAAAGACGGUCUUGCUGUCACUUAUAGAUGGAUCCGCGCUGCAUUAGCUAGUUGGUAAGGUAACGGCUUACCAAGGCAACGAUGCAUAGCCGACCUGAGAGGGUGAUCGGCCACACUGGAACUGAGACACGGUCCAGACUCCUACGGGAGGCAGCAGUAGGGAAUCUUCCGCAAUGGGCGAAAGCCUGACGGAGCAACGCCGCGUGAGUGAUGAAGGUCUUCGGAUCGUAAAACUCUGUUAUUAGGGAAGAACAUAUGUGUAAGUAACUGUGCACAUCUUGACGGUACCUAAUCAGAAAGCCACGGCUAACUACGUGCCAGCAGCCGCGGUAAUACGUAGGUGGCAAGCGUUAUCCGGAAUUAUUGGGCGUAAAGCGCGCGUAGGCGGUUUUUUAAGUCUGAUGUGAAAGCCCACGGCUCAACCGUGGAGGGUCAUUGGAAACUGGAAAACUUGAGUGCAGAAGAGGAAAGUGGAAUUCCAUGUGUAGCGGUGAAAUGCGCAGAGAUAUGGAGGAACACCAGUGGCGAAGGCGACUUUCUGGUCUGUAACUGACGCUGAUGUGCGAAAGCGUGGGGAUCAAACAGGAUUAGAUACCCUGGUAGUCCACGCCGUAAACGAUGAGUGCUAAGUGUUAGGGGGUUUCCGCCCCUUAGUGCUGCAGCUAACGCAUUAAGCACUCCGCCUGGGGAGUACGACCGCAAGGUUGAAACUCAAAGGAAUUGACGGGGACCCGCACAAGCGGUGGAGCAUGUGGUUUAAUUCGAAGCAACGCGAAGAACCUUACCAAAUCUUGACAUCCUUUGACAACUCUAGAGAUAGAGCCUUCCCCUUCGGGGGACAAAGUGACAGGUGGUGCAUGGUUGUCGUCAGCUCGUGUCGUGAGAUGUUGGGUUAAGUCCCGCAACGAGCGCAACCCUUAAGCUUAGUUGCCAUCAUUAAGUUGGGCACUCUAAGUUGACUGCCGGUGACAAACCGGAGGAAGGUGGGGAUGACGUCAAAUCAUCAUGCCCCUUAUGAUUUGGGCUACACACGUGCUACAAUGGACAAUACAAAGGGCAGCGAAACCGCGAGGUCAAGCAAAUCCCAUAAAGUUGUUCUCAGUUCGGAUUGUAGUCUGCAACUCGACUACAUGAAGCUGGAAUCGCUAGUAAUCGUAGAUCAGCAUGCUACGGUGAAUACGUUCCCGGGUCU